UACGGGAGGCANCAGUAGGGAAUCUUCCCCAAUGGACGAAAGUCUGAUGGAGCAACGCCGCGUGAGUGAUGAAGGGUUUCGGCUCGUAAAACUCUGUUGUGGAGAAGAACAGGUGUCAGAGUAACUGUGACAUCUGACGGAUCCAACCAGAAGCCCGCA
Molecule: ribosomal RNA, 159 nt
Filed under: uncultured Lactobacillus sp.
Lineage: Bacteria; Bacillati; Bacillota; Bacilli; Lactobacillales; Lactobacillaceae
Description: partial 16S ribosomal RNA
Rfam family: Bacterial small subunit ribosomal RNA
Source: RNAcentral